RNAcentral lists this ribosomal RNA (401 nucleotides) under uncultured bacterium. RNAcentral's name for it is "bacterial SSU rRNA". It matches the Rfam family "Bacterial small subunit ribosomal RNA", at positions 356 to 774 of the family's 1533-position model. The record is from RNAcentral.
GGGGAAUCUUGCACAAUGGGGGCAACCCUGAUGCAGCGACGCCGCGUGAGCGAUGAAGCCCUUCGGGGCGUAAAGCUCUUUCGACCGGAACGAUAAUGACGGUACCGGGAGAAGAAGCUGCGGCUAACUACGUGCCAGCAGCCGCGGUAAUACGUAGGCAGCAAGCGUUGUUCGGAGUUACUGGGCGUGAAGAGUGCGUAGGCGGUUUUCUAAGUUCGGUGUGAAAUCUCCCGGCGUAACUGGGAGGGUGCGCCGAAGACUGGGAAGCUGGAGUGUGGGAAAGGCAGGCGGAAUUCCUGGUGUAGCGGUGAAAUGCGUAGAUAUCAGGAGGAACACCGGCGGUGUAGACGGCUUGCUAGACCAUGACUGACGCUGAGGCACGAAAGCGUGGGUAGCAAACA